This 759-nucleotide ribosomal RNA is filed under the name uncultured bacterium. Its description in RNAcentral is "bacterial SSU rRNA". It matches the Rfam family "Bacterial small subunit ribosomal RNA", at positions 33 to 787 of the family's 1533-position model. The record is from RNAcentral.
ACGCUGGCGGCAGGCCUAACACAUGCAAGUCGAGCGGUAGAGAGAAGCUUGCUUCUCUUGAGAGCGGCGGACGGGUGAGUAAUGCCUAGGAAUCUGCCUGGUAGUGGGGGAUAACGUUCGGAAACGGACGCUAAUACCGCAUACGUCCUACGGGAGAAAGCAGGGGACCUUCGGGCCUUGCGCUAUCAGAUGAGCCUAGGUCGGAUUAGCUAGUUGGUGGGGUAAUGGCUCACCAAGGCGACGAUCCGUAACUGGUCUGAGAGGAUGAUCAGUCACACUGGAACUGAGACACGGUCCAGAUUCCUACGGGAGGCAGCAGUGGGGAAUAUUGGACAAUGGGCGAAAGCCUGAUCCAGCCAUGCCGCGUGUGUGAAGAAGGUCUUCGGAUUGUAAAGCACUUUAAGUUGGGAGGAAGGGUUGUAGAUUAAUACUCUGCAAUUUUGACGUUACCGACAGAAUAAGCACCGGCUAACUCUGUGCCAGCAGCCGCGGUAAUACAGAGGGUGCAAGCGUUAAUCGGAAUUACUGGGCGUAAAGCGCGCGUAGGUGGUUAGUUAAGUUGGAUGUGAAAUCCCCGGGCUCAACCUGGGAACUGCAUUCAAAACUGACUGACUAGAGUAUGGUAGAGGGUGGUGGAAUUUCCUGUGUAGCGGUGAAAUGCGUAGAUAUAGGAAGGAACACCAGUGGCGAAGGCGACCACCUGGACUAAUACUGACACUGAGGUGCGAAAGCGUGGGGAGCAAACAGGAUUAGAUACCC